Myodes glareolus (Bank vole) is the source of this 1178-nucleotide long non-coding RNA. RefSeq lists it as uncharacterized. The record is from RefSeq and is a predicted model, not a curated record. Lineage: Eukaryota; Metazoa; Chordata; Mammalia; Rodentia; Cricetidae.
CGAACAUGUGACCUGCCUGCUCCCAACAUAAAGCUCAGCUUUCCCUGAUCGCUAGAGUUCACUUUGGCACCUAUAUCCCAUCCAAGACAAAGGCACUACUUUGAUGACAGGUUAUCAGCCCUCCGCUGAGAAGGGGGAUGGGACCGAUGCUCGAAUGUAAACCUCUAGGCAGUGCUGAACACAUGCUGGAAAACUGGUGUUGUUAUGAAAGGUGCAGCAAGCAUCAGAAGUGAAAAUGAAACUGGCCUACAUCCAGCUUAAUGACGGACUCCUUCCAUCGAUGCUGGGAAAAAGUGCAUGUCUUCUAGGAUGUGCUUGCUGCCCAGUGGAUGCUCCUGACCUGGCCUUCUGCAGUGUCACGCUCCGUGUAUUUGACAAGCUGAGUUGGACACUCUGUGUGGUAGAGUGUCAGUUUGUCAAAUACCCCAAGUGUGGCUCCUGCCUAGCAUCUCCAGGCCCAGGGCAGAGCAAAUAGCCUGCUGCCUAUAUACAAAUGUUUAUGAACCGACACCCUCUCUUAAGGUACUCUAUGGUUCUGAGGGAACUGUAACAUUUCAGCAGGAGACAUCAGAGUAAGGAAGGUGCAGCUCCGGGGCCUACACAUCUGGGAUCUAUCUACACACCUUGUGAGAAUGCCGUGGAAUGCCCAAUGGGAUUAAAAAUAUAUUAAGGGAUACCAAGAAGGAUGUGCAAUUUGAUUUAUUAUUAAUGUCUUCUUUCACAUUCCUCUUCCUGCAGCCAGAACACCAGAGUUUUCUACAAGCAUCUUGACUUCAAUAAGAAAGUAGGACAUAGAAAGCCACUUUCGUGUCCUUGGAGCACACGUUGACCUUACCUGCAUUUUCUCUUUUUCUCUUUUCUUUUGUCCUUCUCAAAGUACUCUUUCUGCUUCUCUUCCAUGUACGUUCAGACCCCACCAAAUUCCAAACACUCUGGGCAGUUUGGAACAUCGACCUAUACUUUUUCUUUACUCCUUGACUAGAUCCAGGUAUGUACUCUUAUAUUUCUCGCCACCCAAUACAUCCCCCUAAAUUGUCAGUGAAUUUUUCCAGGGUAUAUUCUUAAAUUCCCUGUUACAUUGUUAAGAGUCUAGAGCAUAUUAUAUUUACUUGAUUGCUGUCUUCCCUACUAUUGUCCAGCAUUUUAAUUUGUUUAAUAAAUGUUUAUCAAUUAAUUGA